UCCCCGGUAGCUCAGUUGGUAGAGCGCCUGACUGUUAAUCAGGUGGUCGCAGGUUCGAGUCCUGCCCGGGGAGCCA
This 76-nucleotide transfer RNA is filed under the name Nitrospirota bacterium. RNAcentral's name for it is "Nitrospirae bacterium tRNA-Asn". It matches the Rfam family "tRNA". Rfam says of the family: Transfer RNA (tRNA) molecules are approximately 80 nucleotides in length. Their secondary structure includes four short double-helical elements and three loops (D, anti-codon, and T loops). The record is from RNAcentral. Lineage: Bacteria; Pseudomonadati; Nitrospirota.